AACAGGAUUAGAUACCCUGGUAGUCCACGCUGUAAACGAUGUCGACUUGGAGGUUGUGCCCUUGAGGCGUGGCUUCCGGAGCUAACGCGUUAAGUCGACCGCCUGGGGAGUACGGCCGCAAGGUUAAAACUCAAAUGAAUUGACGGGGGCCCGCACAAGCGGUGGAGCGUGUGGUUUAAUUCGAUGCAACGCGAAGAACCUUACCUACUCUUGACAUCCAGAGAAUUUGCUAGAGAUAGCUUAGUGCCUUCGGGAACUCUGAGACAGGUGCUGCAUGGCUGUCGUCAGCUCGUGUUGUGAAAUGUUGGGUUAAGUCCCGCAACGAGCGCAACCCUUAUCCUUUGUUGCCAGCACGUAAUGGUGGGAACUCAAAGGAGACUGCCGGUGAUAAACCGGAGGAAGGUGGGGAUGACGUCAAGUCAUCAUGGCCCUUACGAGUAGGGCUACACACGUGCUACAAUGGCAUAUACAAAGAGAAGCGAACUCGCGAGAGCAAGCGGACCUCAUAAAGUAUGUCGUAGUCCGGAUUGGAGUCUGCAACUCGACUCCAUGAAGUCGGAAUCGCUAGUAAUCGUAGAUCAGAAUGCUACGGUGAAUACGUUCCCGGGCCUUGUACACACCGCCCGUCACACCAUGGGAGUGGGUUGCAAAAGAAGUAGGUAGCUUAACCUUCGGGAGGGCGCUUACCACUUUGUGAUUCAUGACUGGGGUGAAGUCGUAACAAGGUAACC
RNAcentral lists this ribosomal RNA (731 nucleotides) under uncultured bacterium. Its description in RNAcentral is "bacterial SSU rRNA". It matches the Rfam family "Bacterial small subunit ribosomal RNA", at positions 771 to 1501 of the family's 1533-position model. The record is from RNAcentral.